AGAGUUUGAUCCUGGCUCAGAUUGAACGCUGGCGGCAUGCCUUACACAUGCAAGUCGAACGGCAGCACGGGGGCAACCCUGGUGGCGAGUGGCGAACGGGUGAGUAAUACAUCGGAACGUGUCCUGGAGUGGGGGAUAGCCCGGCGAAAGCCGGAUUAAUACCGCAUACGCUCUAUGGAGGAAAGCGGGGGAUCUUCGGACCUCGCGCUCAAGGGGCGGCCGAUGGCGGAUUAGCUAGUUGGUAGGGUAAAGGCCUACCAAGGCGACGAUCCGUAGCUGGUCUGAGAGGACGACCAGCCACACUGGGACUGAGACACGGCCCAGACUCCUACGGGAGGCAGCAGUGGGGAAUUUUGGACAAUGGGGGCAACCCUGAUCCAGCAAUGCCGCGUGUGUGAAGAAGGCCUUCGGGUUGUAAAGCACUUUUGUCCGGAAAGAAAUCCUCUGGGUUAAUACCCCGGGGGGAUGACGGUACCGGAAGAAUAAGCACCGGCUAACUACGUGCCAGCCGCCGCAUCGAAUUC
RNAcentral lists this ribosomal RNA (524 nucleotides) under uncultured bacterium. RNAcentral describes it as "bacterial SSU rRNA". It matches the Rfam family "Bacterial small subunit ribosomal RNA", at positions 8 to 526 of the family's 1533-position model. The record is from RNAcentral.